RNAcentral lists this small nuclear RNA (18 nucleotides) under Arabidopsis thaliana (thale cress). Its description in RNAcentral is "snRNA_01463". Lineage: Eukaryota; Viridiplantae; Streptophyta; Magnoliopsida; Brassicales; Brassicaceae. The record is from RNAcentral.
GGAGUCUCUGAUGCCAUC